UACGAAGGGGGCUAGCGUUGCUCGGAAUCACUGGGCGUAAAGGGUGCGUAGGCGGGUCUUUAAGUCAGGGGGUGAAAUCCUGGAGCUCAACUCCAGAACUGCCUUUGAUACUGAAGAUCUUGAGUUCGGGAGAGGUGAGUGGAACUGCGAGUGUAGAGGUGAAAUUCGUAGAUAUUCGCAAGAACACCAGUGGCGAAGGCGGCUCACUGGCCCGAUACUGACGCUGAGGCACGAAAGCGUGGGGAGCAAACAGG
RNAcentral lists this ribosomal RNA (254 nucleotides) under uncultured bacterium. RNAcentral's name for it is "partial 16S ribosomal RNA". It matches the Rfam family "Bacterial small subunit ribosomal RNA", at positions 524 to 776 of the family's 1533-position model. The record is from RNAcentral.